RNAcentral lists this ribosomal RNA (492 nucleotides) under uncultured bacterium. RNAcentral describes it as "partial 16S ribosomal RNA". It matches the Rfam family "Bacterial small subunit ribosomal RNA", at positions 29 to 507 of the family's 1533-position model. The record is from RNAcentral.
AGUGAACGCUGGCGGUAGGCCUAACACAUGCAAGUCGAACGGCAGCACAGUAAGAGCUUGCUCUUACGGGUGGCGAGUGGCGGACGGGUGAGGAAUACAUCGGAAUCUACUUUUUCGUGGGGGAUAACGUAGGGAAACUUACGCUAAUACCGCAUACGACCUACGGGUGAAAACAGGGGAUCUUCGGACCUUGCGCGAUUGAAUUAGCCGAUGUCGGAUUAGCUAGUUGGCGGGGUAAAGGCCCACCAAGGCGACGAUCCGUAGCUGGUCUGAGAGGAUGAUCAGCCACACUGGAACUGAGACACGGUCCAGACUCCUACGGGAGGCAGCAGUGGGGAAUAUUGGACAAUGGGCGCAAGCCUGAUCCAGCCAUACCGCGUGGGUGAAGAAGGCCUUCGGGUUGUAAAGCCCUUUUGUUGGGAAAGAAAAGCAGCAGGUUAAUACCCCGCUGUUCUGACGGUACCCAAAGAAUAAGCACCGGCUAACUUCGUG